UCCGUAGGCGGGCAAUUAAGUCAGAGGUGAAAUCCCACAGCUCAACUGUGGAACUGCCUUUGAUACUGGUUGUCUUGAGUUAUAGUGAAGUAGAUAGAAUAUGUAGUGUAGCGGUGAAAUGCAUAGAUAUUACAUAGAACACCGAUUGCGAAGGCAGUCUACUAACUGUAUACUGACGCUAAUGGACGAAAGCGUGGGGAGCGAACAGGAUUAGAUACCCUGGUAGUCC
Molecule: ribosomal RNA, 229 nt
Filed under: uncultured bacterium
Lineage: Bacteria
Description: partial 16S ribosomal RNA
Rfam family: Bacterial small subunit ribosomal RNA
Source: RNAcentral